AGACCCGAAACCCGGUGAUCUAGCCAUGGGCAGGUUGAAGGUUGGGUAACACUAACUGGAGGACCGAACCGACUAAUGUUGAAAAAUUAGCGGAUGACUUGUGGCUGGGGGUGAAAGGCCAAUCAAACCGGGAGAUAGCUGGUUCUCCCCGAAAGCUAUUUAGGUAGCGCCUCGUGAAUUCAUCUCCGGGGGUAGAGCACUGUUUCGGCAAGGGGGUCAUCCCGACUUACCAACCCGAUGCAAACUGCGAAUACCGGAGAAUGUUAUCACGGGAGACACACGGCGGGUGCUAACGUCCGUCGUGAAGAGGGAAACAACCCAGACCGCCAGCUAAGGUCCCAAAGUCAUGGUUAAGUGGGAAACGAUGUGGGAAGGCCCAGACAGCCAGGAUGUUGGCUUAGAAGCAGCCAUCAUUUAAAGAAAGCGUAAUAGCUCACUGGUCGAGUCGGCCUGCGCGGAAGAUGUAACGGGGCUAAACAAUGCACCGAAGCUGCGGCAGCGACACUGUGUGUUGUUGGGUAGGGGAGCGUUC
This 532-nucleotide ribosomal RNA is filed under the name Escherichia coli. RNAcentral describes it as "partial 23S ribosomal RNA". It matches the Rfam family "Bacterial large subunit ribosomal RNA", at positions 711 to 1241 of the family's 2925-position model. Lineage: Bacteria; Pseudomonadati; Pseudomonadota; Gammaproteobacteria; Enterobacterales; Enterobacteriaceae. The record is from RNAcentral.